ACUCUAGGGAAGGAGAGGAGUAAGACUGUGUGGAGGGACCGACUGCGCCACUGUCAGCUCCAGCUGAGGAUGAAGCAGGAGGAGAUGAAGAGGCAGUGUGAAUAUUUCCAACUGUACAAACAGAAUCAGCAGCAGAAGCUCAGGCUGGCGGGGGAGCGGGAGCAGAGCCUCCGCAAACGCAUCCGAGAGCUGGAGCUGGAGCAGGAGACGCCGGAUCGAUUGGCGACAGGUGCUCUGCUACGCACAGGGCUGGAGCGCUGUCCCCCUGGUGGGACCCCCCAGUUGAAUGAAGAGCAAGAAGAGAAGGAGCACAGGAAGCAAACUGCCUUGCUGGAGGAGUCAGAGGAGCGAGCCAACAAAAGCAAUGGACUCCUGAAGCAGGGCGCCCCCCUGGCUGAAACCCGGGUCCAGCCGCAGGCGCCUCCGCUGCCAAAUGAGCCUGAGGAAAGAUUGGGUGGGGUGGGAACUCAAAAGAAGGAAACGGCCUUUGUGGACUGCAACAGCCAGCCAUGCUCGUAUGAGGGACUGCUGGGGAGCCCCGUCCUUCCCCUGCUGGAGCUGAACUCCCAGAGCGUGGUAGAAAUCCUGCAGUCUCUGCAGUGUGACGGAGUGAAGGAGGUAACAACCACAUGAAAAGGUGGCUGUUUAAUAGCUGUCAAUUUACAUGCAAGUUAAUGUUGUCAUGGUGUAAAAUCAUUACUGGUGUCUAGAUGACUUUGAGGCUUUAUUUGUGUCCUAGAUUUGCAAGCAGAGCAUAACUUCCUUGUUCAAUCUCAGGUGAUCCCAAGUCUCCGACAGGUGGACCUACAAAGCAGGCUUCACUUGCUGCUGAUGUCCACCUCGGAGCACAAAGGUGUAACCGCAUCUGCUGAGACACAGGGGGUGGUAGAGAGUGACAGUGGAGCAGAGGAUCCUGUGUCAAUACACGAAGAUGGGAUGGUCAUUGUGUCGCAGUCAGAUUUGCUAAGGCUUCUUGGAUACAAAGUCCAGAGAGCCGACGUGUCAAGUCUCCAUGAAAUCCCGAAAGAGCUUAAGGCCCUUGUGUACGAUAAAGAGGAGUCCCUUCAGAAGGUGUCUGAUGAGAAUGUGAGACUGAAACACAACAUGGUAGAAAGGCUAGCAGACAGACAAACGUGUGAGAAGCCUGAAACCAAGAGGGAUGAGACAGACGAGCUGCAGCUAGAGACACCGAAGAAGAGUUGGGCACAGGGCAGCAAGGAGCUCAGCAGGUGCAAUGAGGAACUACGGGGGCAACUAGACCAGCUUGAAAGAGACUCUGAGCAGAAGCCAACUCAAGUGGGGCUGCAGAUCUCCCUGCAGAAGCAGAAGAUCCACAGAUUAGUGGAGCAGCAACUCGGCAACAUAGCCGUUUUGCGCAGGGAGGACCAGAAACCCGCAGAACUGCCACAAAAUGUCUUACAGAAGAUUGGGUGGAACUGUGUUUACCAAGAGGAGAGUAGAAGCAACAAAAAUAUGAGCUCUGACACCGUCUUUGCUCAGAAUAGAGAGGUUGGUCAGCUGAAGGAAAAGUCUUGCUCCCUUCUUCUGCGUGACAAGACCCAGCAGCAUAUACUAUUUUCUCACUUGGAGGAAGAAAGGCAAUGGGUUCCAGAAAACACUGUACAAGUGAAGGAACUUAUGACAUCUGGACUCAGUAGGAACCUGCGGCAGACCAGUGCCAAGGAUCGGAACAGAAUGGAUCAAGAGAAGAGUGAUGAAUGCUUAGACAGAGUGGACCAAGAGCUCACACAAAAGCUGGAGGAUUUGCAGGAGCCGAAGAUCAGGUCACAGCUGAUGUCAGAGAUGGAGGCACAGCAUACAAAUGAUAUUCUGAGAGGGGUGGUAACAGCUUCGGGGGUGGAGCAUACGGACUUGAGGGGGGUGGAUGAGACCCUUCCUGAUGAGAAAAUUCAGCUGCCAGGAGAGAUCGGGCACUUGAAGAAUGAGCAUACGGAACACCUAAGGAAGCACCUUACACUGCUGCAGACCUUCGGUGAGCAGAAUCAAGAGCUCUUUGUUAAAAAAGGUGAUGGGAUCCUUCUGGAGAGCAACACUCAAAACAUAGCACAUUGUCAGAGGAGUGGAAACAGCACCUUGCAUGGUUUAGGCCAGAUGGUGACAACAGGCAGUGACCCCUGUGUGGGUGGAGGUGCCGGCGCAUUGAAUCCAGCCCUUGGCAUCCACUCACAUGGUUAUCUGGGCAAGAGAAGAAUGGAAGUUGUUUGCCAGCGCCUUCUUCCAUGCAUGUCUACAAGGUGCGAAUGCUGGGAGAAAUAUGCAAACUCCACACACCCUGAGCUGAACUCAAAGCUAUGUCCACCAAAGAGCUCAGGAGCCAUGAGGCAACAGCUUAACCUGUUAGGCUACUGUGUCCCUCACAGUGACCCGUGGAAAGGCCUAAACUGUGAAUCAGGUUCAGAAGGUCAUAUGAACAAUAUUGCCAACAGGAAGGAAGUUGGUGUUUUCAUGCGUACAUUUCAACAUGAUGUCCAGAGAAUUCGUGUAGAGCUCACAUUGUUGCACGAGCCCCAAAAGCCACAGCAGUUCAUUAGUGUUAAAGAAACACAGUGGUACCGUCCAAGCAAGAUGCCCCAAGUAGCCAUGCAGAAGAGCCACACCACCAUCUUUUCAUACAGAACGGUCAGCCUUGCAGGCAUCUUGCAGGAGAAGCCCAGCUCACGUGAGGGCAAAGAGACCCUGAGGAAGGAGCUGGAAGCCACUGCUGCAGACCUCAGGAAGUCUCAAGAGGAGCUGGAAAAGGCGAAAGCAGAGGCACAGAAGUGGUACCGGGAGCUAGGCCUGGCAGAGUGCAGACGGGAGGAGGCGGAGAAGAAAGCCUCUCAGGCCUUGAACGAAGCGAGGAGGAUGAGAAAGUGCAUGAAGGAGGCAGAAGUGAUGAAGAGCAGGAGCGACAGCCUGAAAGAAGAGGUAAGUUCUCAAGUGUGGUCAGUUUCCUGUCGUGCUCUUUCACACAUCCUCUUCCAUCAUGAGAAGCUAGAGGGAGGAGGACACAUUGGCACCUCCUCCUGCACCACCUGCAGUGCACUUUGAGCCUCCAGACUUUGCCUGACGUGAGGAGUACAGAGAGGAAUUGGAAAAGCGCCUUUUGUUUCCCUCCUGUCUUCAUACACACACACACACACACACCAGGUGAAAAGAUCAAGUCAGACGACUGUUCAUGGAGUAUGAAUGUCAUUGUUCUUUUUGUGAGAGGUCACGAGACUCCGGUGACCUAAACUGACAUCCAGCGACAGUGACGCUGCUUCAUCACCUACACCAAGUGUCCUAGCAGCAGAUGCAGUGGGAGAACUUUCAGCUCUUUCUGAGCUCUUGCUGAGUCUGAGAUGUUGUGUUUGUGGAGAGCUACUUGCUUUCUGGGCGAAGCCUCUGUGUUUCAGAUGGGGCAUGUGAAGGAGAGAGUGUUGCAGCUGGAGAAGGAGCAGACUGAUGCUCUGUUCCUCAGAUCCCACCUGGAGGAGCAGCUGGCUCACCUGCAAGCCAACUUCGAUACCAAGGUGCGUCACGGAGAGACAGGGCCACCCCAAGCUUGCAGCC
This is a long non-coding RNA of Scleropages formosus (Asian bonytongue), 3555 nucleotides long. NCBI's taxonomy places the organism in Eukaryota, Metazoa, Chordata, Actinopteri, Osteoglossiformes, Osteoglossidae. The record is from Ensembl.